Long non-coding RNA from Equus quagga, 439 nucleotides. RefSeq lists it as uncharacterized. The transcript is spliced from 4 exons. NCBI's taxonomy places the organism in Eukaryota, Metazoa, Chordata, Mammalia, Perissodactyla, Equidae. The record is from RefSeq and is a predicted model, not a curated record.
CACCGUCUUCAGAAACUCAAUAUAUGAGUUAAAGAUACUGAAUUACAUAGAGUCAGAUGAACUGUUUCUGGAAUCAUAGGGCUCAUAUUUGAAGGUAAGUCUUACUGUCAGUGGAUUAUUUGUGUGUGUGUGUGUACAUACACACAUACUCAUAUAAACACAUACCCAUGCUAUUGAGCAAUAAGCAUGAAGAAUUGACUACUCUUGCUCCCAUUUCUUCUAGUUGUCACCUCAAUGGCCACUACUGUUUGUUCUACAACGGCUUAUACGACAGAGGAGAGCAUUGUCACUACUACUAAGGCUACAACAGCUUCCCCAACAGAGCACAGUGAUGUCCCUGUUAUUAUUCCCAGAAAAGCUUGUCUGAAAGAUGAAACAUCCCCUCUGCAGCUGCAGCUCAGCAACGUCUCUGCCUAUUACACCUACCUCCUCCUCCUCC